GUCCAGGGUAGCCUAGUGGUCAUGGCAUCUUCCGGUAAGCGGAAGGUCGUGGGUUCGAUUCCCAUCCCUUGACA
Molecule: transfer RNA, 74 nt
Filed under: Cordylochernes scorpioides
Lineage: Eukaryota; Metazoa; Arthropoda; Arachnida; Pseudoscorpiones; Chernetidae
Description: tRNA-OTHER
Rfam family: tRNA
About the family: Transfer RNA (tRNA) molecules are approximately 80 nucleotides in length. Their secondary structure includes four short double-helical elements and three loops (D, anti-codon, and T loops).
Source: RNAcentral